Molecule: long non-coding RNA, 444 nt
Filed under: Homo sapiens (human)
Lineage: Eukaryota; Metazoa; Chordata; Mammalia; Primates; Hominidae
Description: HSALNT0368881
Source: RNAcentral
UCUCCCAGGUCUGGUCUGAAUUUGGGAGGGCUGACUUGCCUAAUUUUAGAGGUGUUGUGCCCAAGAGGAAUGGAGGCCGGGUUUCCUUGCUUCUUUACCAAUCUACUUAUCGGUUUCCUGUUCAACUCCCUUCCUUUGCUUAAUUUGACUUUAGAUAAAUGUCACACUCCAGUAAAGAGACUUUAAGAAUUACUCAGUAAUCAAACCAUGUGAAUUCAAUGGUCUGCACGCUUGGAAUCUUAAGAAACUGCUGAUGAUGACAUUGGCUGCCUCGGUUUUAGGAACUGCCAGAAAUAGCCACUAACCAAGAGAAAGAGAGCAAGGACUAGCCCUGAAUAAUUGGUCAACGAUGCUGAUUUCGUUGGUUUCCUGUUCCUUUUGCUUCCUGGAAAAUACAGACCUACAAAGCAAACAUUGUGUGUGGGUUGAUGCUACAGCAUCGUC